AACAUCACAACUUCUGACCCAAUCUACUACUGCCUUAAGCAUACCAGGCCAAAAGAAAUGCCUGUUAAGUCUCACUGAAGUGACAUUAAUUCUUAUGUAUCCUCCUAAUUGUGAGUUGUGAUAGAAAGCCAAUAAAUGCUCCCUCAAAUUCUCUAUUCUACCUGGAUAAAGUCUGUCUUUCUAAAACAAUAGUCCAUCUUUCAAAGAGUACCCAGG
RNAcentral lists this unclassified non-coding RNA (216 nucleotides) under Hevea brasiliensis (rubber tree). The record is from RNAcentral. Lineage: Eukaryota; Viridiplantae; Streptophyta; Magnoliopsida; Malpighiales; Euphorbiaceae.